GCUCACAGGCUGGGCGUCCUCUCGGCAGCUCCGGAGAUGACGGUGAGCAGGUUGUUGCCGAAGGGGUCGCUGAGGUGCGCAGAGAGGUUCUCAACGGGGCCCUCGCCAGUGACGUAUGCCUGGAUGAAGAAACCCAGCAUGGAGAACAUGGCUAGCCGGCCGUUCUUGAUCUCCUUCACCUUGAGCAGCGCCGCCUGGUCGGGGUCGCUGGCGAGGCCGAGCGGGUCGAAUGGGCCACCGGGGUGGAGCUUGUCCUCAAGAUCCUGCCGGAGAAAUUGAUGAAAACCGUUGGUCAGUACAAAGUUCCUAAUUGCAGCUCAACUUAUGUAUAUGUUUGAGGUGUUACUGUCACUGACAAGGCCGUUGAUGAUCCUGUAGUACUCGGCGCCUCCGACGAGGACAACCUCGGCGACGACGGCGAGGAUGAGGUUGAUGGGGAUGCUGUUGCCGAAGUAGUUGAGGGUGUUGCCGUCCAGGAGAAGAGCGCCGGUCUGCAUAUGUGUUUGUUCAUGGCACCGUGAGUUUAAACUUCAGAGUUCUGAAUCUGAAUCUGAAUGUGUGAAUACUGAUGAGCAAUUACCUUGAACCAGACGGCCUCGGGACCGCAGUUGGCGCCGAACUUGUUGCACGCCUCGGGGAUGAUGAAGCCGGCAGCGCCGAGCAUGGCCCAUCUGGCAUGGAUCAGCUCAUAGGCCUGGUACCUGAAGAAUAAGGUGUGGGAAAGGAUUACUUAGUUGAUAGAAUAUUUUGUUUAGAGUGAGACCGUAGGUUAACAAUUUUAGGUCUGUAUUUGCAAAAUGCAGAUCACUACUUACUUGGUGAAGUCAUCUGGCUUCUUGCUCAGACCGAAAGGAUCAUAGCCAUAGCUGAAAGUCCAAAGGGAAACAAAUAGGUCAGUUCAGUUGCAUAUAUAAUCUUAGUCUCUUAGUUUUGCAUGAGCAUUUCAGUAAUAUGAGCAGUGAGGCAAUGCUGCAAAGGGAAGACAACUUUAAUUCAAAUAGUCUGAAAGAUUCGAGAAAACAGUGGCAUUUCCACAAAGAUGAAAACUAAUUUAUGCUACACUGCUCACUACAGAACUAGCAAAAUAGGUACGAGUACCAUAUCCAUAUAAAUUUGCCGUAGUACUAAAUUACUACUACAGUUCAAAGGAUGGUUAAAUUGUGGAGGGUAAAAAUGGAAGCAUAUGACUUACUCUCCAGGAACCUCUCCGUUGAGGUACUCUGGCACCUCUGACCGGUCAAGGAGACCGUCCGGCAAGAAGAUCCUCCUGUCAGGGCCUGAAAACAAGAUUAAAAAAAUAGUACUUAGGUAUGUAUGAAUUUUCAGAACAAAUUAAUUACCUGAAAUGUGUUCAAUCUCAUAUGGAAGUUUUCUUUGUACUCACCAUACCACUUGGCGAGCUCGUCGUCGAUGUCUGCGCCCGAGGAGGAUACUGGGGCGGGCUUCGGCUUCGCAGCGGGCUUUUUGUUGAAGCCCCCGAAGAGGGAGACAAUCUUCUUCGCCCCAGCGGUCGGUGCCGCCGUGGUGUAGCUGGAGGAGCCGGUGAAGUUGAGCCGGGUGCCCAGCAUCUUCGUGGGAGCGAGCGCCGCCAUUACCUCAGGCCCAAAGUUCACAGAGAGGUGUGCUCAGCUCAGCAGGAAAGGUGUGAUGGGCGUUUGUGGAGGGAAAGGUGGGGUAGUUUAAAUGGAUGGAAAUGAGGAUUGGAGGAUGUUGUGGGCCCAGGCAAGAUUGGGCCAAAGGGGUUGUGAUUGGCUGUGUGUUCAGGAGGGCUAUCUGUUGCUUGGAUUUGAUUGGCCUGCCUUUGCUGACUUGGCAGAUGAGGGUGCUGGUGUGGCUCCAUUAGAGCCUCUUGUUAUCUCGUUUAUCAAGAGCCAGGCGGUACUAAAUGGUCCAAAUGCCAUAGAUAGAGACACAGGGAGAACGGAGAACCAAGGAUAGAGAGAGAGCGAACACAACAUUUUCAAGCAACAUACCCACCCCUGAGUUUCCACACACCACCCCUGAGUUUCAUCAGAACUUCAUAACAUCAAAUUAUGCUGGAAUUUAACAUCUGAGACGAGCAACACAAAUAACGGGACAUAAGCCAACAUGUACACCUAGCACAAUAGUGUUCAUCGGUCUGACAUUUUUUUUCUAACUACCAGAAUGUUAACACUUGAAGAAUUUUAAGCAUUAACACUAAUAGAAUUUCAGGAUCCUACUUAAAUACUCCCUCCGUUCCUAAAUACUUGUCGCUGUUUUAGUGCAAAAGCAAGUUUGUACUAAAACAGCGACAAGUAUUUAGGAACGGAGGGAGUACAAGUCUAUCUAGUGACGGACUGAUCAACAUUCAAAAUAAGAAAUUACAGUGUGAUACAAUAGAUGUGGCUAAAGGUCAGCUGCUAAUCCACAUCAAUGGCAUACUGUUUGUAAUCCUUGACCAAUACCAGAUCUUGACAGCUAACAGCGGCAGCCAUAUGGUGGUGCAGCCGAUGCUCAACUCUUCACAGCUCACAGCAGCAGUCAUUUGGCAGUGGAGCUCAACGCCAUUUUUCAAUAUGUUUUGAAGUUGCGCUCGCAAGCCUUUUGGUGUUUACAACCAGCUCGUCAAACAAAGCAGCAACAUUCUCCCUGGAACAGAGAGAGGAGGAAAGGAUGAGCAACAUUGAGUAGAAAUAUGCAUGUUUAUUUUGCAUGCAGAUUGAGUAAGUUAUGUCCCAAGGGUGCCAAACAAGAAAUAAGGUGGAGAAAGCCAUAAGCCAGUAACUUGACAAAUUUCACGGUGACAAGAAAUGAUAGAGUUGUGCAAAAGCGAGAAUAUAUGUAGUUGUCCUCUCAGCACAAACUAGAGAACUGCUUAGAUGUUCUAGAUUUUGAAGUAUGUUAGCAUGACAUAUCUUAUGCUCUGUACUACAGAGCUUUCAGAAAAAUAUAUUAGCCUGACAUUAUACUGCAGCCAAACGUAUACACAUUUAACUGCGAGGAACGAGUACUGUUUGGGAAUAUGCUGACAAAGAAAACUGAUUAAAAUAAUAGGAGAAGAAUUGCAGUUUAUGCUCUACAGAAAACAAUCUGACACAACUGGCAUUAGAGUACAGCUCAGGUUUAUGAAAAUUCUGAAAUGAACACUCACAAAUCUGUUUCUGCACCAUGCGAUCAGCUUUUUUUAAUUUGAAACACACAUACUGUCAGAAAUAGAAUUUGUAACAAAAUAUGGUAUUCCAGUUUAAGUCAGGAGUCAGGAAUGAGUUACUAGUACUAUUUUUUUUUGUGGAAGUAGUUACUGUUAGAACUAUACUGUACGGACACUAUGUGCACACGACAUACUAGAACGUCACUUCAAAUAUCUCACUAUCUACUGUUAACAUCCUGAUAGAAACAAGGUUUUAGAAAAACUGCACUGGACUUUUUUAGAAAACUCAUGAAGGGGCUAGGUUUUAUGAAUUCUCAAAGAGACUCACGAUUUUCACUAAGUUUCAUUAUUGCACAUAAAAUUAUUAUUUCGUGAUGUUCAGUGAGAAACAUUUUUCUCUGAUUUUCUAUGGGUCGCACUUUACAUAGUUAUUUUCACUUAAUCCAAGUGUUUAAGUUUUCAAGUGUUACAUGUAUAUAGUAUGUGUACAGUUAAUUAGUUUGGAUGUGAAAUGUUGCAGUACAGUAGUUUGGACUAACUAAUAAGGUCAUAUCACGUCUAAUGCCCAAUGUGUAAAAAGAUGGUGCUUAAGCUAAUUGAUUGGGCUCUGGUAUGGAUUGAUUGCUCGGUUUCUUUUCUUUUGUUGCCUUUGGUAAUCGAAUACUGAAGCAGGAUCUUCUUCUGCAAUUCUCCAGUCAUACCGCCAAUCAUCUAGUUUGGAUAACUAUGUGGGAAUGCUUCAUGUGACUAUGUGAGCUCGUCUGUUACUUCAAAGCAUAAACAAUAUUGCCUAAGGUUCUUCCUCCAAUCUCAAUUGGUCAUCUGUGUGAUUUAAUGCACAAGUCAAUGUUCCCUAGCAUUUUUACGGACUGUGUAGAUUGUUAAUUUCAAAAAUUAGUAUUACAAUAUUUGCACCUUACCCUUGCCAUCCAGAUAGCUCAUCUUGCAAAUUUAAUGACAUGAGCAACGAUAAAUAGAGUAAAACCCCAAAGUUAUUGAACAUAUCUUACAAUGUUAGCAAUCCAGCAUAGCAUGCAUAAAACUGUCUGUUAGCACAAAUGUCACUAAAUACUUUCAUGCCCACACAAUACUUACGUAGGCAGAUUUGGAGCUUCUUGGAACAUUCUGCCAACAUUUGAGUGCCUUUUCUUUUCGUCAUAGGCAAUCCCUUUGCCCAAGCCGUAACCAAAACCAAAUCCUAUACCACAUCCAGCUCCAACUCCAAAGCCUAAAGUGAGUCCAGGAAAUCCAUAACCUAAUCCUGAACCUGCAUUAUUCAUGCAACAUAUAAAGUUAUACAUCAUUUAUUACAGAAGUUAACACAAAAUAUCAGGAAAAGGAAGCGAGAUCCCAGAGGAUCAAAAAACAGUAUACAAAUUACAAAAUGAUGGAACGGUAGUAUUGGAAAAAAUAGUUUACAAGUGGCAAGAAUGCUGUUCAUUCUGCAACACAUCUGCCAGAAAGUUUACAGAUGCAGACAAUUGGCCUCCUCUCAUGCGCCCAAUUGUAAUGAUAUUGGGUUCACAAGUUGAUUCUAUCCCAUCAAUGGUACCAACCAAAUAUAACAAUUUUCCAUAUAAAAAGUCAACUACUUCCUCAGUCCGACAAAGAAUGUCUCAACUUUGACUAAAUUUGAAUGCAUCUAUACAUUAAGUCAUGUCUAGAUACAUCCAAAUUUUGACAAAGUUGAGACAUCUUUUGUUGGAGGGAGGGAGGAUAACAAUUGCAAAAUUACCAAAACCGAAACCCUCCAACCAAGACACCGAGCAGCACAUAUCAGCAUGUGCAACAAUCCAAUCUGUGAAUACCCCUCCCCUUACGAGCUAUUAGGCUGCUUUGACUAGAUGAGUCUUAGAGCAAACCCUACCUCGUUGACUCCACUAAACCCCACCCUGACUAACCUUCAAAUACUCAUCAUGUUGUCAAGCAGCUCGUCAAGAGCGAAGAGCAAUGCGGAAACAAGGAGCAGGGAAGAAAAACGAAAAACACAACAGGAACUCAAAGUGAAGGAGGGAUUUACCGCCGAAGAAGCCGACUCCGGCGCCCACGCCGCAGCCGAAUCCGAGGCCAAAGGCGGGGCCUAUCUUGCCGAGCUCCCUGGAGGUGACCUCAGGCAGCCUCCAGAGGAGCCCCUUGUCGCCACCCCCACCUCUCUUCCCCGCCUUCGCCGUCCCCAUCGCCUUCCCCUCUCCGUCUGGUCCUGUUCGUGUUGAACUGAGGGGUCCAGGACCUCCGGGUCUCCGAGAAGAUUGAAGAAUGAAGACUCGUGCGGAAAAGCUGAAACAAAGGGCCCAACGAUAACUUGCCCAUAUAGAGCCGGAAGGAAGAUGGCCCAGACAAAAGUCUAAGCAGCUAUUGGGCUGAAAUAGAGAGGGCAGCCCUUGGGCCCGCGGAGGCAGAGCGGAGGACUUUUUUUUUCUGAGGUGACAGAGCGGAGGACUUAAAUGGUGUUUUUUUUUUCCGAAAAUAAGAUGGAAAGCAUCAAAUAUUUUUUGAGAAAUGAUGGAGAGCAUCAAUUGAUACACACAAUUAUUUUUAUUUCAAAGUCAUAGAACACAAGUCAUACAAAACACAGAUCAGAGAACACGAAUACAAAUGUAUGCAGGCAGAAAUGGUCUAACAUAGUCAGUCUAUGUAUUAAAGCAAACGAUUAGAACAACUUGAAUGCCAUGGAUAAUGGUAAACAAUGCUGCUUCGCGGUUGACCCCGCUGAUCGAUGGAACAUGGAAGAGUCUACUGGCUGCACCUUGGCAUUGACCGACUAGUGCUGCACCGCGAUAUCGUCGCGGGAGAAGAGGCAAUUUAAUUUUGCAACCACCUGUCCUUAAAACUGGUUUUACGCAUGCUAGAGAUGCUCUACGCAACAAGGUUAGAAAGAGCAUGAAACCUUGGUUUGUUUACCUACACUUGACUCUUUUCAUAUUCCAGUUUGAAGUGUUCCUUUUAAUCGGUAAUCUAGCUUUAAGUGUUGAUCCUGCCGCUACAUACGCGUUCUUCCCCAAAUCAGAAACAAGCUGGUGGCUGCACAGACCUUGUGGUCCAUUCUUUAGUACUACUAUAUCAAGACAUUUACCAUAUUGUUAUUAGAAAAUCCCGAUUACCACAUGUAACGUACUCUUCGAUUACCGUACGUGCAGGAAGAGAAUAUAGUACUGCACGUACUGAGAGAGUAGUAGUUAAUUGGUGUACGCACUGCCGCUGGAUCUUGUUGUUUUUCGAGUACCAUGCACGUUGCUCGCUUUGUGUGGAUGCAUCGUGCAUAUCAGACCAUCAGUAGUAUAUCGCAUUUUUCUCAAUUGGAAGUAGCUUAGCCCGUGGUUGGUACAAGUUUUGCAUCUGGUCCAUUCAACAUGCCAUAAUACUAUAUCAAUGCAUUUACUACAUUAGUGUGUUCAAGAAGAUCGAUCGAUCUCGCAAACGUACACGCUUGAGGUGUGCAAAUGCAUGAGUGUACUUGCAUAUGGGCAUGAGAAAACAAUGCAGGUCCGUGCCGAGAUAUUUGACAAGUCGGCACGAGCUUGAAUUUGAUUCCACUCCGGUCCGGUCAGACAUACUUCCUUCAAUCCAUGUCUCAAAUUUAAUACUUCCUCCGUCCAACAAAAAAUGUCUCAAAUUUGUUAGAAUUUGAAUGUAUCUAAAUGUGAAUUAGUGUAUAGAUGCAUUCAAAUUUGGUCAAAGUUGAGACAUCCUUUGUUGGACGGAGAGAGUACAAGCUUAUAUUAAGUUACUCACUCCGGCCGGAAUUAUUUGUUGAAAUAUUCAUGUAUCUAGACGUUUUUUGAACAUAGAUACAUUUAUAUUUGGACAAAUUUGAGACAACUAAUAUGGACGGGAGAGAGUAGCAUGAGACAAAUAUUAUGGAUCGGGCAGAGCACGUGUUAACGAAUUAUGUUGCGGUACGCUGGCCCUGAUCAUUACGGCGGCCACAGGGUUGCAAGAGUACUUGUGUAGGCAGUGGUAUGUACGCAAGUAGUACAGCUAUGUCAUGGAAACUUAAUUGAAAUCUGAGGCUCUCCCACGGAUGGGAUCUCGAUCGUUCUGCCAAAACCUUCAUGAACCUGUUAUAUGUGCCGGUCGUACCAAGAAAACAAACAAACUCUUUCCUAGCUCGAUUGUAAGUACAAAUCUUGCAUUGCUAGCUCUCCCUAGCUGAAAUAUAUAUAUGCACACGCCCAAAUAAAUGUGCAUGUACAGUUCAUAAUUUUGGGGCCAAAAUGUGUACAAAUCAGAGCCACGAGUAGCCACUGCCGGAAUCGAUCGAUAUGUAGCUCGCUUAACUUCACCUCACGUACGAUCGGCGCUCGAUCAUGUAUCUGUGUCGUAUGUACCGCUUGUGCAAGUUCAUUUGCACUUUAGAUAUAGGACGUACAGCUAGGUGCCAUUACCCAUGCGUACAUCCUAGCUAGGAUUGCCUAUGCAUGGUACGAGAAUGCACUUUGUAUUCUGGCAUCCAGCUAGUGUUCCCUGUAUUUUUAAAAUAAUAAUAAUAAUCAAAAACCAUAUUGAUGAGUUUCGAUAUUUUUUCACGUGAAAUAUAUAGGCUUUGCUAUACGACACAUUUAUUAAUAAUUGAUAAAUAUUUCAUCUAUGGGCUACACAGAAAAAUGAAUAAUGUAAUAAUGGAUGCACUAUUUGCUACUCCCAGAUUUGUGCUAGGUGCCAAGGCAGCUCUCGUUUCUAGUGCCUGCCACUGAUAUUGGGUUAAUAAUAAAUGGAUGUGAGUAGUUAUUUGCCGGGUGCGGGUACUAAGAGAAAAAUGAGAUCCAUUGUGAAACAAAUGAGAAAAAUCUAUACGCGUUCUAUUGUGGAAUGCAGUGAGUAUUGUAGAACAAAAAUGGAUAUAUUAUCAAUUAAUCAAGAUAUGUACGUAUGUAUACAUGUACAUGUACAUGUGGAACGUUUUUUAAAAACUCCAAAAUAUGAUAUUAUUAUCUUUUGUAUUUUUUAAAAUACAGAAAGUACUGGAACCCAAGAGCAAAAUUCGCUCCAUACUAGAAGUACACACCAACAUACAAGUACUCAUCAAUGACCUUUGAAAAAAUAUAUCCCAUAUAUUUUUCUGAGCCGUCACAGAAGCCGUUGGUGGCCGCAUAUCGUUCCAGGAUAGAAAUUUGCGGGGAUGUUUUUUUUUUUUAAAAAAAAAAUCUAUCGAGAUUGCAUGGGAAGACUAGAUCAGACCAUCGAUCUAGGCUUCAGGCACCAUCGUCGUGGCCGGAAGGAGGGAUUAUUGGCAACACGGUUGAGGGGAGGGAGAUGGAGGUGGAUGAUGGAGCUUCAACUUCCUAACUGUGCGAGCGCUCACCGUGGACAACAGAGGCUGACAUCGAAGUUGUGGAAGAAGAUGAUAGCUAGAAGUGAAGAAGCCCUUUGCGAGGACAAUGACAAGUACGAAGCUUCAACCCUCUACACCGAUUCAACAAACUUUGAUGACGUAUGGGAGCACCAAGUUUGACGAUGCAUUUACCAUUCCACAUUAUGGCCAUUGCAAAAGUUUGAUCGGUCACCAUGUGUGCCCCAACACACAACUCAUACCCGCCAUUAUAGAGUACUCCUUCCGAUCCUUUUGAACUAAAAUAACGACAAUAAUUUGGGAUAGGAAGGAGUAUUUAUUAUUAGUGUUCGACUUUGGCCUUCAAAAUAUUUGGCAGCCUAUGACAGUUUUGAAAUUUUGUCCAACUACCACGUAUGCAUCAUCUCCACAAAUCUUGCAAAAAUUUCAGCCGACCAAAAGCCAAGGUAUCAUAUUUGGCUAGUGAUGGUGGCCGUCACUAAUUCAUAGGGCUUGAAUUGGUAGUUUGGUACUCCAUAUUAUCCAAACGUACCUACCCACACCACAUAAAUGUUACUCUCUCUGAUCCUAAAUUGUUGACUUAAAUUUGAUCAAAUAUGAAUGUAUUUAUUCUUAAAAAAUAUCUAGAUACAUGUAAUAUUUCAACAACAGUUUAGGAUCAGAGUGAGCAGCACAUGGAGUGAUCGCUGCUGAAUCCUUGUUCAGUAUUUCUGGCCGGGCCAAAAUUGAACCACGAGGACAAGUCACAUGCGUGCACGUCCAGUGACCCGCGUGACAAAGAGCAGUACCAUAUAGCAAAAUUGAUUGCUUUUUUCCUUAAAGCACAAGCACGUACGCAUGGCGUGAUGAUGAAGAGCCAAGAUUUUGGCGGCCGGCGGCGUCACUGCACGGGGGGUUGACAUCCUCGCAAAGAUUUCUGGGAAUGAACGCCGCGUACAUCACCCACAGUGUACGAACGUUCAGAGCUACGAGCGGCCACGGGCCACUAGUCCCACUACUGUAAACGUGACGACUUACACCUGGGCGUACGGCCUCGCAAUUCUUAACUUCCUCGCAUUACGCGCACAAACGCGAGGACACCGUACGCACCGUACGUGUGUGCAAAGUUUGAUUGUAGCUCGGGACGAAAUUAAGGCGCCGGAUUUGUUUGUUUCUAAAUCCGAUGGCAACAACUUAUGCAGGAUCGGACGUCUGGGCUCAUGCAGGCGACGGUGAUGCUUCUCAGAAGCCGUGAUGGGCGGCGUCCAGCGGCUGGGAAUAGGAUGUGUCUGCUGUCCUCUUAAACUCUUCUCUCUAUUUGGCUCGUGUGGGUCAACAAUGAAGUUUAUCGCCACUCUGUUUUGAGAUUUUGGGAGUUUCUGGCUCUGUAGGACUAGAUAUUUGGUGGCAUCAGGUUUUCAACCCAUACAGUUCCGACCGAGCCGGCUGGGACACAGUAGGUUUCCUGGUGGUGUCAGGAUCCGCUUCUCCCCAUUCUCUUGUGUUUUUCUUCCUGUAAAGCUCUAAAACAUUGUUAUUUCCGUUUCAAUGAAAUGAAAAAUGAUGGUCAUCCGAAAAUAAGCUCUAAUGCAUCCAACCAAAAUAUUGUCAGGUAGAAUUAGGUACCAAAUUAGUCUGUAAAAGCGACCCCACCAGCCUCCAGACCACACAAGCCACACCACAAGUGAAAAAAAAAUGCCUAGCAGAUUCCAAUUGAUCAAAAAAAGAACACACAGGAGAACCAGACCAAUUCUUUUUCCUUGUGUAUAAAAGCCAUAAGAAAAUUUGAAUUUUCAGGAGAAUUUUUGCUUUCCAAAUCCAUCUAUGAUGGCUGCCAUGAAUAUUUCUUUCCAACCACUUAUACAUUGAUCUCACAGAAUAUACUUCUCCAAGGACCAGCACAAAUUUUCUGGUCCAGUAAAAUAAAGAUCAGAUGUUUUGCUUUUUGUUGGAUUUUACCAUGUAUAUCUUCUUUUUGGUUAAUCCUUCAUGUUCUUUUAGUAUAUAAUUGUCUGAUUUUCAAUAACCAGUUCUCAUUCUGUUCUGUUUUAUACUUUCACCAAAAUGGGCAGCUUUGAUCUUUCUGCCAAAAUAAUUUCGAAACGAUGUGAUGAGUAUUUAAAUCCUUGAAGGUAAUAGGAGGAAGAAAUUCUCGCAAAAAAAAAAUAAGCGGAAGAAAUACAUCUCAAUCAGGUCAAACUCCAGAUUCAUAGUCAAGUCUUCCCCGGCCGAAACCGAGAGUGAUGUUCACCAUCUCAAUCAGUGGAACCUCCACCACUCACGAAAGCAAUCAUUCACGACAGGUAGAUAAGAACAAAUCAGCCAUCAUACACUACACCUCAUGCACCUCAGUCUUAGACAAAUUUACUAGCAAAAUGCCUUCCACUGGCUGGCUUAUAUUACUUCUCCUUGUUCUUACAAAGCUCACGUUCAGUGGUGUCCAUGGCAAUCUUCCUAGAAAUUCUGUCCAUUGCCUUCCAGACAAGGCUGUGUCGCUCCUUCAGCUGAAGCAAUCCUUCUCCUUCGAUUUCUCUACCACCACCCUCCCUUCAUGGCAAGCCGGUACCGACUGCUGUCUUUGGGAAGGCAUUAGCUGCGACGUCUCCUCCGGUGAGGUCACUGCCCUCAGCCUCGCCGGUCGAGGCCUGUAUAGCUAUGGCAUAGACAGUGCAAUCUUCAAUCUCACCUCCCUGCAGCAUCUUGACCUUAGCAGGAACAAUUUUGGUGGGUCACACCUUCCGGAUGUCGGGUUUGAGAGGCUCUCUUUGCUCACCAACCUCAACCUCUCUGGUUCAGGUCUCUAUGGCCAGAUCCCUAUCAGCAUAGGGUACCUCACAAGUCUCGUCUCCCUUGAUCUCUCCAACAGAGACGUGACUACUUACUUUGCAAAUAUGUUGGUGUUGUGGGAACCGAGUUUUAUGGUGUUGGUGGCAAAACUCACCAAUCUAAGGGAGCUUUACCUAGAUUGGGUGGAUGUAUCUGCUAGUGGAGAAGAGUGGUGUGGUGCCCUGGCAAGACAUGUUCCUCAUCUUGAGAUUCUUAGCUUGGACCUAUGUAGGCUCUAUGGUCCAAUUCAUGUGUCCCUCUCAAGAGUUCGCUCGCUUUCUGUGAUUAACCUCCAUAGUAACUACAGAAUAUCUGGUGCAGUUCCGGAUUUUUUUGCAGAUUUCCAAAAUCUAAGUGUUCUUCAGCUUGGUGAUUGUCGUUUUGAUGGGCUAUUUCCUCCAAGGAUCUUUGAACUAAAAAAACUGAGAGUCCUUGAUUUGUCCUAUAACUCAAACAUGUUGGUUCACCUUCCAGAUUUUCUGAAUGGAAGUUCUUUAGAGAUAUUAAAUAUACAAGAUACAAAUUUCUCUACUGCCAGCCCAAGGUCCUUCAGCAACCUCAAGUUUCUCGAGGAGCUACACAUUGAUGGGAAAUAUAAAUACCUCACGGUGCUUCCUCCAUCCUCAUUUAAGUCCUUGAAGAAGUUGCACUUGUCUCAGCUAGAAUCAGAAACACCAGCCUCCUGGCGGAUUGGGGAAGCUCAGAACUUAACAUAUUUGGAAAUUUCAAGCAGCAACUUCUCCGGGAGAACGCCAUCUUGGAUUGACAAUCUCAGAAACUUGAGGAAAUUGCAAAUCUAUGACUGCAUCUUCUCUGGGCCUAUACCAUCAACAAUUGGGAAUCUGAUGAAUUUGACAGAUUUGGCACUUCAGAAUUGUGGUUUUUCUGGAAGAAUACCAGCAUGGGUUGGUAAUUUAACCCAACUAUCUUAUUUGGACCUUGACACGAAUCAUCUGAGUGGUAAGUCUACAUACCAAAAUAUUAUUCCAAUCACCACAAAUCUAUGAUGUAACUGCACAAUUUAGUUUUAUGAGAUUUUUUAUUGAAAAGAAGUGUUUUACUUAGAUUUAUUUAUUGAAAUAAGUGUUUUAAUGAGAUUUUUCUUUUCAAAAAUAUUAUUGCACGGAAAUCACAUUUGAAUGUGUUAUGGGUGCUUUAAAAAUUCAUUUGAUGGACCUAUAUACAGUGUACUAUAGGAUUACACCCACCAAGUUAGUGGUUAGUUCUGAUUAAGUGGUCAAUAUGGGAAUAUACUGUUUCAUUUAUUUAGUUUUGGUUACUUCAAAAAAACUGGAAAGUGAAGAUCAGGGGCCAAUUAACCUAAGAGCGAGCGUGCCGGCGAAUACGAACCAAGGCCCCGAGAUAGUUAUAACAGUAUAGGGGCCAAUUAACACAAAAUCCUUUUUAUCCAGUAUUAAUUUGGAACCACGUGCAUCUAAAGCAUCCUUUACAAAAAUCAAUGUAGUUGUAUGCAACCUAGAGCAAUAGCAUGAAGAACACGACACGAACACGAAGAACAGUUAGAACAGAACGUAAUAGGAACACAAGCUAGGAAACAAAGCGGAGUCGAGAACAGAAUCACAGUAGAUGUAAAUGAUAGCCCUUUGGGUCAGAUUGUUUUGCAUUGAAUUAGUUUAACUUGUCCUGUCGCCAGUGGGCCAGGGAAGGUACAGCGGCCAAAGAAAUACACAAGCUGUCAAGCUAUUCUGCUGGUGGCGACAUUUCGUAGAUCCGUAGAGGAAGUUGUGCUUAGCACCGACGAUUGUAUGAUAUCAAUAUGUUACGCAUGUGAAUCCUAUUCUGGUAACUUUAUUUCUGAUGCAAAUGAAGAAGAAUGAUUGGAGCAGAUUUUAACUGAACUGACAUUUAUUUUGCUUAUUCUCAGGGGAAAUACCAGAUUCCAUAUUUACUCUUCCAGCAUUACAGAUGCUGGAUCUUUCUUCAAAUCGACUUUCUGGCAAGCUAAGGGACUUUCUUGCUUCAUCUUCUUCCUUGUAUUGGAUUGACAUGACUGACAAUGAAUUGGAUGGGUCAAUAAAGUCACUCAGCCAACUAAAAAGAUUGCAUGCACUCUUUCUCGGUUCUAAUAACUUCAUGAUAGAUCAGGUAGAGCUCAAUUCGUUGUUGGGAUUAAGAGAACUCCGGGCACUGGACCUGUCAAAUAAUAGGCUGUCAGUAAUAGAGGUGACAGAUGGACAAGGAGUUUCAGUUCCUUCUGUAUCUCGACUUCAAGUUUUGGACCUAGCAUCCUGCAACCUAACUAAAAUUCCAGAUUUUCUACAGUUUCUGCACCAUGUCGGUUACUUGGAUAUUUCUAAUAACCAUAUUUCCGGCAGUAUACCUAAGUGGAUAUGGGACAAUUGGAGUAAUACACUUCUCUAUCUGAACUUGUCAAACAACAAUUUUUCUAGCAUGGAACUAUCUUCGCCUUUUCUUCCAAAAGCCCUACAAAUUAUUGAUCUUAGCUCCAAUAGACUCCAGGGAAAGGUCCCUAUUCCACUGAAGCCAACAAACCUACAGUUCUUGGACUACUCAAAUAACAGAUUCUCAUCAAUCUUAAAAAACUGCACCUCAUGCCUUGGAAAAACUUUCUACCUUAAGAUGGCAAAUAAUAGAAUAAGAGGAGAGAUCCCACACUUCAUUUGCAACGCGAGCAAGCUUGUAAUUCUUGAUUUAUCUAAUAACAGUUUCAGUGGAACGAUUCCAUCAUGUCUAAUACAAGGUGGCCAUCUCAGCAUAUUGAAUUUGAGGGACAAUCACCUCGAAGGAAGACUAGCAUCUAGGGUUGACAAGAGAUGCGCUCUUCAGACAAUAAAUUUGGGUGGAAAUAGGAUUGGAGGUCAACUUCCCUGGUCACUUUCUAACUGCAAGGAUUUGGAGUUUCUCGAUCUGGGUAACAACCAAAUUGUUGACUCUUUUCCACAUUGGUUGGGAAAGCUUCCCAAGCUUCGCAUUCUGGUCUUGAGAUCAAACCAGCUCCAUGGCACAAUAGAAAAUUCUCCAGGAGAUGAUGACUAUGGAGAACACUUUUCAAGUAUGCAAAUAAUUGACGUUGCCUCGAACUAUUUCUCUGGCAAUCUGAGGUCACCAUGGUUUGAAAAUUUACAGUCUAUGAUCAAAAGUUCUGAUUUCGAAGGAGACAUUAUAAAAGCUCAAAACGUGACAGGAUCUUAUCAAGAUAUUGUCACCGUAAUGUUCAAAGGGCAGUACAUGACAUUCGAGAAGAUAUGGACCACUCUUACAAUGAUCGACUUCUCGGAUAAUGCAUUCACUGGUUCCAUUCCUGAAUCAUUUGGAAGACUUGGUCAACUACAUGGACUCAACCUGUCAAAUAACAUGUUGACAGGAGAAAUUCCAGCACAACUAGGUGGUAUGACUGCUCUGGAGUCAAUGGAUCUAUCUUCAAACGAGCUUUCUGGGGAGAUACCAGAGGAGCUGACAGACCUCACUUCUCUAGGUACCUUGAAUUUGUCCAACAACCAAUUCAUCGGAAAAAUACCGGAAUCGCGCCAAUUUGGAACGUUCCAGAACAAUUCGUAUGAAGGGAAUGCAGGACUGUGUGGACCGCCCUUGUCCAAACAGUGUGACAGCCAAGGAGGUGGACCAAUUGGAGUGCUUGCGAGCAAGUCCUCAGAUCAGGUUGAUGUCAUUUUGUUUCUCUUCAUCGGCAUAGGAUAUGGCCUUGGGUUUGCAGCAGGUUUACUAAUCAAAUGGAGUCGCAUAGGCAAGUGGUUCAGGACAACAAACACGUCUUGAUAGUGCGCAAGCAAAGGUUUGUCUGCGGAGUGCAACUAUGCCUAUGCUGAAUUUUGAAGUAUUUGUUGUACUUACAUUGUUGUUAUCAGCACCUGCAGCUUCAUAAUUGCAGCAAAAAAAAAUGUCUCUACUGCAAGUUGUCUUUCUGUUGCUAUCAGUGUCUGUACUCAGCAAUCAAAACUUUGUACUACGUGAUUUGCAUGUUCAAGAACGAUCUAAAUUUCCGUAUAUUUUUAAGGCAGAUUUUAUUUCGGAUGAAAACCUAAAAUGUACAUGAAAAUUAGUUCUGGGCUCACAUUAGCGAUAUGUACAUAUAGGUAAAGGAAGAACAAUUGUAAAAUUCAGAUUUCAUAUAUUACAUGUCUUAAUUGAACCAGAGUCCAGAAACAGGACCAUAAUAAGCUGAACAGAAACAAAUGAUUCUGAAUCUGAAUGAACAAGCAUGCCAAGAAGAGAAGAGACCUGUGAACCUCUCUUGUUCUCGAGGUGGGUGCUCCAUUCCCGCCAGCCAUGGUCUACCUUGAGUGAUUCUUCCGCCCAUCACGAUCACGAUGCCUCCAACGGCCGGCUCCUGCGCCCUCCUUCCUUGGCGGAGCAUCUAGGCGACGCGCCGCCCAAUGUCGUGGUGCCCCCACCCGCGACUUGACGGCUGCGGCGAAAGGACGUGGCCGGCGGCGCGUAGAAGGCCGCCGGAUUCCCAUAAAAAAGAAGCGUGCGGCAGCAGCGCAUCUCCGCCGGUCGCCGGAGAGGGAAGGGGAAAGGCUUCGAAGAAAAAAGGGUAGCGGGGAUGAUACUUGAGCCGGUCUUUCUACGCUCUUGUACAAGGCGACCAAAAAGAGCAAAAUGCACCGUAGCUUGUAAAACUACGAAAGAUGUGUCAAUUCGGUCCUCACGACAUAAGUUUGUAAUGCAUUUUUAGUGGUCAGCUAAGUUAGAUGCUCUCUUCCUCCAAAAAAUACAAACACAAAUUGAAAAUUAAGUGAAGAAAGAAUUGACACGGUACCAUUGUACAAAACCAAAGGUUUCAAUAUACCACUCAAAUAAACAUCCUUUCCAAAAAACCACUACAAUUCAGUUUUUCAUGCCAAAAUGCCGCUAUCGUCAAUUGACUGUUAGUCAAAGUGGUAGAAAGAUGCCAGUAAUCUUACUAUUUCAAUAUUAUCCUUCUCCUUCCUCAUGCGACACGAUAAUGGCAACUCUCUACUGUAAUGGUAGAUCGUAGCUUUGUUUUUUUUCUCAACGUGCGCAACUCUGAACCACUAUCUUUUGUUUGCUGCUAUCUAAAUGCUACUGAAAUGUUGAAGGUUGUCCAAUUGAUGUCGAAAUUUGUCCAAAUGUGCUACUAAAAUCUGUCCAUAUGUGUUGCCGAAGUGUUGUUGAAAUAUGUCCAUAUUAUUGUUGAAAUGAUGUCUGAAUGUGCUGCUGAAAUGCAAGCAAAUGUUGUUGAAUUGUGAAGAGGCGAGGGUAUAUAUGCAGGGACGGAGUCAGAAAUUUGACAUGAGGGGGCGAGUUGGGAUUAGGGGGGCGAAAUUAAAGUCUUCACCUAUUUUAAAGUGAUUUUUAAUGAGCUGAUUAGUAAGUAUUAACUAAAAUGAGUCCAUUUUUGUGGUUGUUAGGGGUUGUUAGUCUUUAGUGGUAUUUUGACAUGAAAAACUGAAUUGUAAUGGUAUUUUGGAAAGGGUGGUUAUUUGAGUGGUAUUUGAAACCUUUGAUUUUGCAUAGUGGUACCAUGUCAAUUCUCUCUCAAGUGAAUGUUUUCUUGUUGAAGUUUAUGAGUUUUAUUAUGGAGUAAACAUUGAGUAGAUAUGCAAUUAAGAACCAAUUUGACAAGGAGUAACGACGAAACGGAUAUAUGUGAUGGCAGCUCAAUGAUCAUUGAUCAACUUAUUUUUGGAUUUCUCAAAUUAGAAUUUGUCCUUAUAUUUUUUUGAUCGAGUGAGUAGAAUAAAACAGAACCUAAAGUUUACUGGCUCCUCUCUGUAUUUUCCCACCUGAGCUCACAAUCACAAACAAUGUGAUUCUAAGGCGAUCGGAUUCGGCGAUUGGAACUUCGACGAGCUCGCAAACGCUUUGAACUCCUGACCAUGGUGGGAGGAGACUGAGAAGUCUAGAAAUAACAGAGAGAACGAAGAAAGGGGAGGAGGCCGUGAGAUAAAUGCAAAAUGACCAAAUGCUUCCGGUGAAUUUUCCUGCCAAAACCGACCCUUUCUGUCUGGCGUUGGUUAACGAGCUACGUGGACAAGUUAGGUCCCGAUGGGACUUACUACUUUUGUUUCACAAAACACAUGUAGAUUUGUUCAUUCGGAUAAAAUCAGCUCUCAUUUCUAAUGUCUCACUAUUUAUAUUGAUUAUUACUAAAUGAAUGUAAACUAUUAUUGGCCGGUUGCGGGAGCCAAGAGAAAAAACGAGCUAUAUUAUUGAACAAAUCAGGAAAAUCUGUGUGAUUUGUUUUGUGAAAUGGAGGGAGUAUGAUGAAACACUUGAUACACACGGUUAGAACUAAAAUGUGCAUUUUUAUACUUUCAGGACUCGGUUGAUACAUUUCACAUGGUUUUACGAGCUUUGAUGCAAUUAACUCGGACAAAAAUGUACCAGUAGAAACUCCAAAUAUUGAGUUCUCUUAAUAUAUUUCAUCAUUUUUUUAACUAGUACCGUGGCCCUCUCAAAUAGGAGGGCAAUAUAUUUAGUGUGUACAUAGAAUUAAAUGUUCCAACUCAGAUGAAAAGGUCACAAUGAUAAACACAUAAACUUUACGAUCUUUCAUCAUGUCCUUACUUCCCUAAUACCAAAAUACAUCAUGUUUUAGACACGGGCAGCACCUAAAAGACAAAAUUUUGGCGUUCUGCUUUGUAUGAACAUGCUACUAAUUUUUUGAAAAGAUGUAUAAUUAUACAAUAUUUUCAUGAUUAAUCUCAUGGCCUUAAUUUGGUCUCUCACAAUAAUGUGUUUAUACAUCGAUAGUUAAAGUUAGAGAAAUAUGAAAAAAAAAAGCUUUUGAGGACAACAAUCUAUCUUUGAACGGAGGUGUUGUUGUUGUUGUUGUUGUUGAUCUAUAAGUGCUAUCUGAUCCACUCCUCAAUUCAGCUAUUGUACAUUCUCGUUCCCUUAUAUAUGUCGUGUCAUGUAACGUCAUUAUAUCUCCUUAGUCUUGGCUUGAAUGCAUGGCAUAGUCCUGACAAUUAAUAAUCUCAUUCAAAAAAUAGUUAUCCAUUUUACUUCACCUUUACCAUUCCCAGGACGAACCAAAUUUGUGGUGUGGCAAAAUCAGUAGCACGGCGACAAUGUACAACACAACAUUUCAUUCAUUGGGUAAUACGGGUGCGAACAUAUUAAGAUAAAGGUAAGUUACCGAAAAAUACCUCAUUAAGCGAAGCUCAAACAAAAACUCACCAUUAAUCUAAUAAAUCUAAGUAGGGGAAACCACUACUUAUUUCUCUCAUCAUGCAAGCAUGCCACAUCAUCACACAAUUAAUUAAUUUGUUCACACAUCUAUUUUUUGCACAUGCGUUACUUUCCAUCAAGCUAUUUCCAUUAAGUGAAGCAUGUAUAAUCUAUCAUACAAUUACAUUAUAUGUUUUCAAUGCAUACUCUUUUGUUGCUACUUUUUACUCAUGUAUGUUAACUAAGAAUUUCAUUCAACAACGUGGGCUCACGUAUGUUAACUAAAAGUUUUCGCGACAACGUGCGGGGAAUCAUCUAGUUUAUCUAAUGUAUCGGUAUAAAGACUAACAGCAACGUCAUACAUAGUAAUAGUACAUAGUUACAUACAGUAACAAACACUGAUAUACAUACCUCUAAAAUUUGCCGUGGCCUUGCAGCCCUUCGUCUUCUUUGAAGGUGUCGGGCGGAUGACCCCGGAUAGGGUCUUGGCGACACACAUUAGCCGAGAUGACGAAGGCAAAUCCGGCACAGGCAUGUACGUCGGCAUCCUUAAGACAAACUAAUGCUAAGCCGGCAUACCAAGUGUAUGCCGGCAUGACUAUCUUGUCUUAUGAGAUGGCAGGAUAAGGACGGAUACACUGAUCUCGGCCAGCGCCGAGAUGUCUUAACGGUCUUAUCCUCAUCGCGUGGCGCAAAGUAAAGCAACGCUAUCUUUAUCACGGAAAAGCAGUCGCUGCUUACGUUGUGAUGGCAGACGACCGCGCAAAGAAGCACCGAAAGAGAAUCAGUGACGGAAGCCGGCAGGCGGCUGGUGUACUUGUUGCAGAGCGUCAGGAAAAAUACAGUUGUCUUGUCCCCUGAGGUGCCACCCGGAGGGAACCAAGGCGCGUGCCCGGCGGGACUCAUAGAAGAUAACGUUAGCCCUUGACCCACAUGUCAGUGUGACAUGGGCGGUCCAUAAAUAGAGCACUACCCCUCCCAGGAGAGGGAUCCAACACUUAGGCAUCUAGGGUUUACCCCUUCUUCUUCUUAUUCUUCUUCUUCUUCUUCUUCUUCUUCUUCUUCUUCUUCUUCUUCUUCUUCUUCUUUCCUCAAGAACACUGCUCAAGGAGCGCCAUUGUAGAUCUUGUUAUCUCGGCUUAUUAAAAAAAGCAGGAGUAUGAGUCUUACCUCUACAAGAGGGCUCCGAAUCUGGGUAAAUCUGUGUGUGCUAGUGUGCUUGUGCGUGUUUCUCUUCACGUCCUCCCUCCUCCGGUUCCUCUUUCGUCCAUCGGCCCCAACUUAAGCCAUCCUAUGGCAUCUGCCGUGACACCACCACGACAGUUGGCGCCCACUGUGGGGCCAGCAGCGGCGCUGGCUGGAGUUUUCAUCCGGACGGAAGCUUCCUCGUCACCGGGGAGCGCGUGGUCUCCGGUUUGGUCUAGAGAUUUGGCUCUCUGGGCUUCAUCGACAACAACGCCGGCUGCUUCAACAACGCGCCGCUUCCUUGCGCAGGCCGCUUCAUCAACUUCGGCAUGCAUGAGGUUUAUGUCGCCACUGACAGUCCUUGCAGGUACCCCGAGCAGGUAGUGGUGGCCGAAGAUCCCCCCACCGUCUGCACGGUUCGCGGCCGGCAUGUCGACUGCCCCGCUGACCGUGUGGAGGUCAUGGUGACGGCUCACGGCGUCGAUGCUGGCAAGGGCACCGCAGAGAGCGGCACGGUCCCGAGCAAGUCCGGCAGAACGGCGAAGUUCCCUUUGGAGAAGCCGGAUAAUGUCGCUGCUCAAGCCGGCACGUCGGCUCUACCGCCAAAGUCGACUCAGCUCCAGGCCUCCAACGAACGGCUGACCGUGCCGGUGGCGUCAAACUCUAACCCGGCCCAGCUGCAGGCUGAGUUGGAGUUGGAGCGCCAGAAAUUGCUGAAGGAAGCUGUUGACGUGGCUCGCGCUCGGCAAGAACUUGAUAUUUCGCUCCGUAUAACAAAGCUCAUGGUUUCAAUUCUAUCGCAUUGACUAACCCUAGCCGAGUUGGGGAAGUGCGUAACCGAGGCAGGAACUUGAACGCCGAGAUAGCUAGAGAUUGCAGAGGGGUGCCUGCGGUGUCGGCAAGUUUUGCCUCGGCAUUGAAGCCGAGAUACAACACCCCUGUCAAGAAUCUCAGGGCCACCGAGGCUGCGGCCGAGGAGUUGCCGAAUCCCACGGGAGAGGCACUCCGGCUGUAGCAAUUGCGCGUGAAGGAGUUACUCCGCACGGCUAACGAGCAGAAUGAGGCAUACAUGAGAUUGCACGGCAAGCCCAGUGCGUCUCAGGUCAUUCACUCGGUAGCGGGCGCUGAUGGCCGGGCUGACAAGCAAGCGUCCUCGCCUGAUGGCAAACGGGACAAGAGUGUCAACUCAGGCCGAGAUAAGCGCCUAGAGCAUUAUGACCCGGUUCUGGCCGAGAAGCAAAUGGUCAAGAGAGUUGAAGACAGCCAGAGUGGUAUGCGUCUCGGCAACAAUCGCCGAGAUCAGCAAGAGCGUCACUCGGCUGGUCUUGGACACCGACCUCGGGGUCCGGCACCCAAUACUGUUGUAGGUCAGCAGGGUGUCGGGCGCAACCCCCUGUAUCGAGGUGAAGAUCGCCGGCAAGACCGUUACGAUGACGGGUACUCGGCCAUGGGUGAUGAGGGCUCUCUCAGGCAAGAACGCCAUAAUCUCGGCCCGCUCGGAGCCCGAAUUGGGAACAAACAAGUGUCGCCGCUGGAUGCCCAACAUCGGCUCGACAGAAUAUAUCUGUCAGAGGUUUUGGAAGAACUAGGCCCUUCGGGACAGCGUUGUUUCGCACACCGGAUCAUGAGGGAGACACCAGCCCAGGGUUUCCAGCUGCCCAGGGGUACGAGAACAUAUGACGGCAGUACUAAGCCGGAAGAUUGGCUGGAAGACUAUGUCACGGCGGUGCAUGUGGCAGGCGGCAAUCGCCGAUGGGCAGUACAUUAUGUACCCCAGAUGCUGGUAGGGCCGGCAAGGAUAUGGCUGAACAAUUUGCCGGAAGGCAGCAUCAAUUGCUGGAUAGACUUUGAGGAAGUUUUUGUCAGCAAUUUCACUAGCACUUACAAGAGGCCAAACCGCUCUCAGCGGUUCUUCAUGUGCAUGUGCAAACAAAGAGACAAUGAGACUGACCGGAAUUACCUGACAAGAUGGAACAACCUCCGCAAUUCCUGUGAAGGGAUAGUGGAAUCGCAAGCCAUAGCGUGGUUUGCCCAAUGAUGCCGACAUGGCAGCAUGUUAUGGCAAAAGCUGCAAAGAGAAAUGCCGGCCACUCUGUCUGAGAUGAUCAAGAUUGCCGACAUGUAUGCUCUCGGUGAUCCGACUCAGCCAUCAUUGAUGCCGUCAGAGCCGCAAAGGGAGCAGCCGAUAUACAACCCUGCUAGAGCAUUCCAGAGGAACGAUUAUCAAGAUCACCGCAACAAGAGAAGGGACGACAGGUCGGAUUACCGGUAUGGGCCAGCCCAUGUCGCCGCUAUUCAGGAUCAACCUGAUGCCGGCUCUAGCCAGUGUUGAAAGACUGAAAAUCAGCAGUGGGUCAAGAAAGGAGAGCAAAAGAAGCCCUGGCAAGAUAACCAGAAGUAUAUGUUCGAGGUGAUGCUGGAUCAGCCUUGUCGUUUUCACACGACUAAUCCCAGCAAACCGACAAAUCACACAACCCGGCAAUGCAACUGGAUGCAGCGGGCCGAGAAGGGUGAGGCAAGUCGGCUGCCCCCUCCUCCACCGCUCACAGGCGUUAACGCCCAGAUCCAAGGACCCCCUCCGACAAACAAUGCUGUCAAUCAGGUGGAAGACCAAGGUAUCCCGCAAUAUGCCGGAAGAAAUAAAUACAAGGAGCAUCACGAGAGCUACAUGAUUUUCAUCACGGAGCCGACUGACAAGCAGAGUCAGCGUAGGCGAGAGAUGGAAGUCAAUGCUGUGAUGCCGGCGGUUCCAAAGUUUAUGUACUGGUCGGAAUAGGAGCUCAACUGGAACCGAGCGGAUCAUCCCAAGGUUAUGCCAAAUCCUGGUAGAUAUGCUCUGGUGGUUGACCCGACACUCAUUGGGCCCGGCAUUAACGUCAAGUUCACUCGGGUUCUCAUUGAUAUUGGAAGAAGCAUAAACAUCAUGUACCGGGACACGAUGCUCAAAUUUUGGCAUUACUCAUAACAUGCUUGAGCCUAGCCGGACUACCUUUCGUGAUAUCGUGCCGGGAGUGUCUUGUGCCCCGGUAGGCAAGAUCCGAGUCGAUGUCUUAUUUGGCACCAGGGAGAAUUGUCGGACCGAGAACCUGGUGUUCGAAGUGGUGGACCUUAGCAGUCCGUACCAUGCGCUACUUGGCAGACCGGCAUUGGCCAAAUUCAUGGCGACUACCCACAUAGGCUAUCUGAAGAUGAAGAUGCCGGGGCCAAAUGGUACCAUAACCAUUACUGGCAACUACAAGCGUUCAAUGGAGUGCGCGGCGGCAGGGUCUGCCUUGGCCGAGUCACUGGUCAUCGCUGGUGAGAAGAAGAAGUUACAAGAAGCUGUUGCGAUGGCUCAAGCGGUACAGAUUGGCCUGCGGGCUAUGACCAAUCCCCAUGGGAGUGUGGCGUUUCAGGCAGCCAGGAGACGAAGAAGAUACAGGUCGACAGUGAAUUCCCGAACCGCACCGUCAUCAUUGGUGCCGGCCUGGGUGAAAAUAGGAAGGCGAGCUCACCAGCUUCCUCUGUGAGCAUCGGGACAUCUUCGCAUGGUCUAAUCAGGACCUGCCGGGUGUGCCGAGGGAGCUGGUUGAGCACUCAUUACAUGUCAGACCAGACGCUAGACCGGUGAAGCAGCCCUUUCGACGCUUCGCCGACGACAGAAGGAAAAUCAUAUCGGACAGAAGGAAAAUCAUAUCGGAAGAGAUAUCCCGGUUUCUAGUUGCGGGCUUUAUCAUGGAAGUAUUGCAUCCCGACUGACUGGCGAAUCCGGUCAUGGUCAAGAACAAGAAAAACGACCCAACUGCUGCCAAGGUGUGGCGCAUGUGUAUCGACUACACAGCCUGAACAAGGCAUGUCCAAAGGAUCCUUUUCCGUUACCUCGGAUCAAUCAAGUAAUCGACUCCACUGCCGGUUGUGAAUUGCUGUAUUUUGUAGACGUGUACUAUGGUUUUCACCAGAUACCGCUGAACCCUAAUGAUCAAAUAAAGACAUCAUUUAUCACCCCGUUCGGGGCUUAUUGCUAUCGCACUAUGCCGUUUGGUUUGAGAAAUGCAGGAGCUACUUAUCAAAGAUGCAUGCAGAAAUGCUUGCACGAUCAACUCGGCAAAAAUGUGCAGGUAUAUGUCGAUGAUGUCGUCAUAAAAACCAAAGAAAGCGCCACGUUGCUGGAUGAUAUCCGGAAAACAUUCGCAAAUCUGAGAAGAUUCCGAAUGAAGCUAAACCCGGCUAAAUGCACAUUCAGUGUGCCGGUAGGGAAGCUGCUCGGGUUCCUGGUAUUGAGCCGAGGUAUAGAAACGAACCAUGUGAAAAUCGCCGCCAUAGAGAGAAUGAAACUGCCGAAAUGUCUCAAAGAUGUGCAGAAAUUCACUGGAUGCCUAGCAUCGCUAAGUCGUUUCAUUAGUCGGCUGGGUGAAAAGGCAAUGCCCUUAUACCAGCUGAUCAAGAAAACCGACAAAUUUGUGUGGACGCAACACGCAGAAGUAGCCUUUCAAGAACUAAAGAAGAUGAUUGCUACAACGCCAAUAUUAGCCUCACCAAUGGAGAAAGAGCCGAUGUUAUUGUACAUAGCAGUAACAAAUCGAGUCGUUAGUGCCGUCAUAGUGGAGGAAAGAGAUGGAGAUGGCAAAUCAGUGCAAAGGCCCGUAUAUUAUUUGAGCGAGGUGUUAUCGUCGUCUAAGCAGAAUUAUCCUCAUUACCAGAAGAUGGCAUACGACGUUUAUAUGGCGGCAAAGAAACUGAAGCAUUAUUUUGAUCUGCAUCAGAUUCGGGUUAUAUGUGAGGCACCCAUGUCAGAAAUCAUGAGCAAUAAAGACGCAAGCGGCCGGAUCGCAAAAUGGGCUAUCGAGUUAGCACCCUACACGCUGCAGUAUGACAGACGGGAUGCCAUAAAAUCUCAGGCUCUCGCGGAUUUCCUGGUACACUGGGCCGAGAUAGAAUAUGAGCCACCACCGCCUGAAACUGGCUAUUGGAAGAUGCAUUUUGACGUCUCCAAAAUGAGAAGUGGGCUUGGUGCUGGCAUAGUAUUAACUUCGCCUAAGCGCGACCAACUUAAAUAUGUGCUGAAAAUUCAUUUUGCGGCAUCCAACAAUGUCGCCAAGUAUGAGGCACUCGUGCACGGACUAAAGAUGGCAAAAGAAAUUGGAGUUUGUCGGAUUCAAUGCUUUGGCGACUCGGACUUGGUAGUUCAGCAAGCUUCCGGCAAUUGGGAUGCAUUGGAUGCCAAUAUGACACUAUACCGCUUUCAUGUUCAGAAGAUCAGUGGUCAUUUCGAAGGGUGUGACUUCCAUCAUAUACCGCGGGCGGAAAAUGAGGCAGCCGACACGCUGUCGAAGCUCGGCUCAACGCGACAAGCUAUCCCGGCUGGUGUGGCAUUGGAGCAUUUACGCAAACCAUCCAUCAAGCCAUCACUAGAAUCGGAGUCAAUCUUUAUCCCGCCGAUCUCAGAAGCUGACAUCACCCCAAUGGACAUUGACAGUGGUAGCGGUUCCGGUAACUCAGUGACUGAGCGCCCUAACUCGGCGGAAGCAAUGGCGGUUGAGCCAAUGGAGAUAGACGAACCAGACGAGCCGAUCUUUGCUACUCGUCCCGUGCUGGCCUGGGCACAACCGAUAAUGUCUUAUCUCAAAGAUGGGAGUCUCCCGGAAUAGUAAGUGUCGGCAAGGCAAAUUUAGAGAAGGGCAAAGGCAUACACUAUACAAGAGAAGUGUUACUAACGUCUUGCAGCGAUGUGUCGAGCCGGCAGAAGGGCAAGAGAUACUCCGAGAUAUUCAUCAGGGAGAGUGCGGUCACCAUGCGUCUUCAAGAACAUUGGUUGGCAAGGCAUUCCGGCACGGUUUCUACUGGCCGAGUGCGAUGCAAGAAGCAGAAGACAUGGUCCGGAAAUGCAAUGGUUGCCAGAGAUAUGCCAGCAAGAUUCACAUGCGGCAUCUGAGCUCAAGACUAUUCCAAUCACUUGGCCAUUUGCUGUUUGUGUUUGGAUAUGGUGGGACCUUUCAAGCGGGCGCGAGGAGGCAUGACACAUUUCUUGGUCAUGGUUGACAAGUUUACUAAAUGGAUUGAAGUGAAGCCGAUACAAAAGUGUGACGGCAAGACUGCGGUAUCAUUCUUAAAGGACAUCAUCUUGAGGUAUGGUUACCCGCACAGUGUCAUCACGGAUAAUGGAACGAACUUUGCGGAAGGACCUUUUGCGUGAUUUCGCGCGGAAAAGAAAAUCCGGCUGGACAUCGCCUCCGUGGCACAUUCUCAAUCCAACGGACAAGUUGAGAGAGCAAACGGCAUGGUUCUAGCCGGCAUAAAACCUAGGUUGAUUGAGCCACUGGAACACACUCUAGGAUGUUGGUUAGAUGAACUCCCAGCUGUGCUAUGGAGUCUUAGGACAACCCCAAAUCGCUCUACAGGCUACACGCCAUUUUUCCAUGUAUACGAGGCGGAAGCUGUCUUACCAGCCCACAUUGAACAUGACUCUCCACGAGUGACCAUUUAUACGGAGGUGAGGUAAAAGAGGCCCGAGAAAAUGAUGUCGACCUGCUCAAAGAAGCAUGGGAAUUGGCUCUAUCUCGGUCAGCCAUCUAUCAACAACACCUAAGGCAUUAUCACAGCCGGAGGGUAAACCCGCGAGUAUUCCGGGAAGGAGACCUCGUGCUCCGACUUGUGCAGCGCACAGCCGGCAUGCUUAAACUAUCACCCCCAUGGGAAGGAUCCUUCAUUGUGAGCAAAGCGCUACACAACAAUUCCUACUAUCUUAUAUAUGCGCAGGAUCCCAAAGCAAACAGGAUGGACAGGUCUGGCGAGGAGACCAAGAGGCCAUGGAAUGUAGCUUUACUUCGUCUGUUUUAUAUUUGAAAGAUGAGUAUUUGUAUCGCUUUUUCCUUUAUGUUGAAUGUUUUGAAAAAAUGAAAUUAUCUGCCGGGUUCUUAAAAAGGACUCGCAGACUCCCAUGCUAUUUAAGUGUUGUAUUGCAUUUACCGUUUUGUAUGUCGGCAUGUCUUAGUUGUGCAAUCUUAUGUCGGUUGAGUAGUCUGUCGGUAUUCAAAAUCCCCUCUAUGACUUCGUUGUUGUGCGCAACGCAGCUUCAUGGCAAGCUAGAGAUUGGGUACGAGAUAACUGAACACAUGAAAAACGAUUGCGGAAACAAACAAAAAAGCGAGCCGAGAUGCGCGUCGUUUUACUUAACUCGGCAUUUCAUUCUUGUCUCGGGUAUUUCCAAGCGAAUUUGUCGAGUUUAAGUUUUUUGAAAGGAUUGUUCUAUGAAUUCGUGAUUCAUACGUCGAACGCCGACAAGGCAGACAAAAGAACCGAAGUCCUAAAAUCACCAACAGAAAAAAUAGACACGGGGACUCGGUUGGGAGAUCGGUAAUUAAAAGACUGAAAUAAAUUAAAAGUAGCUUCAUAGAACAAAAGUGUUUUAACCCGGUUACAUCUGCACCCGGCAUCCCGGGGAUCUGAUAAAUUUAGAGCAUUUUUCCGGCUUGACUAAGAAGAAACAGAAGGAUUGGCGGCGCCGGAACUCGGAGCAUCCGUUGCAGUAGAAGCCGACUCGACGACAAUCUCUUCGUCGACUUCUUCUUCGUCGUCUUCCUCGACCAUCUCCGCAUCUGCUUCUGACACCGGGCCCUCCACAAAUUUAUGCACAUCGGCAUAUUGGAUAAAGGAGUAGGCCCGCUGCUGCCGCUUCGUGAUGAGUUCCGGGUCUGAGAGGAAAGGGGAGCCGACUUGCAUCGACUGCAGCACGUCGAGGUUGAUGCCGUCGUACCAAGAGAGUACAAACGACAAAGCCUCGUCGGCACCGACACAAGCGGCCGAUUCCCGCCACUCGUUCAGCCGGUCCUCCACCUCCAGAAGGCGCUUCGCCAAUUCCGGGAUGCCGGUCGGAGUUUCUUCUCCCGGCCACAACGCUCGGAAGGCCCGGAUGCCGGCGUUGAGCAUGUUUACCCCGAACGACUUCAGAUGCUUAACCCGGCUUGCAAUGCUGACCAAGUAAUCCUCCAAGUCAUAUUCGAAGGGUACUGCCCCAGCUGGAUCCCUCCUUCUACGGGCCUUGAUCACGGCAGCUUGGGCAGUCUCAACAGAAUGUGGGAAAAAUUCUGACAAAGGCAAAAAGAUCGUAAUGAGUCUCGACACUCCAUUGCUGCUUUCGGACAAAUGAUCAGAGGAAGAGACUUGGUCAAGGGCAACUUACUAGUCAGCAUUGCGUCGAUUUUGAUGAGGUCACGCCGGGACACGCUAAGUAGGCGGGCGUUCUCGGCCUUCUCCUUCUCGACAGCAGUGGCGCGAGUCUCGACCUUGGCGACAAGAUCCUUGCAUUUCUGCACUUCGCCUUCUAGGCAGAUCUUCUCGUCAGCUUGGGCGGAGAGAGGCGAGGUAAGUUGACCUACCUCGGUGUUAUGCGCCUCCGCCUGAGCUUCGAGCUGCGCUUUCUGCCGGGCCACUUCGUCCCGGUGCUGCUCUUCUAGCCGAGUUUUCUCAUCUGUUUAGCAGACGUGUGUUAUAGAAGUUUGAGUUUAAGAUGGAUGAAACCUGAGAUAAGGACAAGCCUAUACCUUGUACUUCGGCGACACGCUUCAAGAGCUCAGAUACUUGAACAUUGUCCCCGGCUGUAAACAAGAGCACGUAUCAGUUUUUGCAGUGCAUUAAUACUCGGACAAAUUCUUUAUGUAGGUAAAAAUGUACUUACUCUGGCUCUGGCGCUCGGCUACCAAGGCCUUGUGCUCUGCCGCCAGCUUCUUGUGCUUCGCCAGCAGGACCUUAAAGGUAGCGGUGCGCUUGUUCAUGCAGGUCUGCAAGACAAUAAUCAACAGUUAAUUCUAUUGCAGGGGGAAUAAGUGUUUGAAGUUUCUAAGCUUCAGGCCGACUAUUCUAAAUCCGACCUGAAUCUCGGGGAAUAAGUGUUUGAAGUUUUUAAGCUUCAGGCCGACUAUUCUAAACCCGGCCUGAAUCUCGGGGAAUAAGUGUUUGAAGUUUUUAAGCUAUAGAAGAAGGUCUUGAGCCACUUUUUGCUGGACUCAAGACCUUGGAUCCGAGGAAAGGCUGAGCCUCGGCGGGGUAUCACGGUGGCGGCGCCGCACUGGGUCAUGGGUUUGGCGGCGCCGGGAUUCUCUUUGUCGAGGAGAACUUGGGGCCGGAACAUAAAGUAUUUGGCCCACAAGUCGACGGGAGGCCAGAGGCCGUGAUAGGCCUCACAGCAAGUGACAAACGCCGAGAGUGUGAGGAUAGCGUUUGCCGGAAGAUGGUGCGGCAGAAGGCCAAAGAAGUCUAAGAAUUUCCUAGUGAAAUCACUAGCUAGCAGAGCGAACCCUCGUUCAAAAUGAGCAAGGAAGACGACAUGCUCACCAGAUUCGGGUGCCGACACAGUCUCGUAACCGGGGGUCCGACACUCUACAUCUUCUAGAAUCCGCCGGGAGCGGCGGAGCCACUCGAUGUCUGCCGGGGAGACGUCGGAGCCUUCCUAGCCAGCUUGCUCCGAGCCCGUCUCCUCCUCGGUGUGCUGAGCAGCGAGGUCAACGGUGGCGGCAUCACGGGAAGAAGAAGCCAUUGUUGGAAACUAGAUCUAGGCUUAGCUUCUCCGGCGAAGAGGUGGUGGUGCAAGGCUCAAGCGAGCAAGGAAACGGCGGCAGAGAGUCAAGCGAGGGCGCACGAGGAUAUGGCGACGAGCUCGGUUGCUGGGAGCAAGGAAGCGCACCGGCGGAAGAUCUCGGAGCUAUCGGCAAUGGUGGAGCACGCAAGAAGCAGAGAAGAGCAGAGGAGAGCGAGAAGGUUGGGGGAGUGCGAAGGGUUUUUCUCCCUCGCCCCCUCCCUCUUUUUGUACCCGCAACGCACUAAAGGGGGCGCGGAUCUUUUGCGCCCACGAUGCCUGUGGCCAACGGAUGGGCCGCGCACGAUCAUGGGGGCAAUCAACCCCAUUAACGCGCAAGCGCUCGGUUACCACGCGGCGUGGCUCAGUUAAUCCCGUCGAAUCCGGGAGGAUAAGGAUCCGCGUGGGAACCAAAAUUCCUCUCUUAAUGGCCUAUCAGUUUUACUGUCCGAUGGGACGACGUGCUCGCCUCAAUGGGCGCGCCGGCAGUACUUCGGGUUUUAUCUUUCCGUUAUUUAUGCAGAGUGCAGAGUACAAGCGACAGGUGGCACUAAUGUCGGCAGAAACGAGUUUUUUGUUGUCGGCCAUGUAGGGGAAAAGAAUCUCGACUCAAUGCUGAAUAAGCACGCCAGCUCGGUAUGUCGGAAUAACUUGAUCUCGGCUAAGAGGAACUCGGGGUUGUCUCGGCAUCCUUUUUGGCUAAGCCCUGGUGAGCUUCGGUGGUUCCUGUGUGGGAAGUUGUCGUGGCCCGACAUUCUUCCCUGCCGGACCGCAACAGUUUCGGGGACUAUUAUCGGGGGGAUGACCCCGGAUAAGGUCUUGGCGACACACAUUAGCCGAGAUGACUAUGUUGUCUUAUGAGAUUGCAGGAUAAGGACGGAUACUCUGAUCUCGGUCAGCGCCGAGAUGUCUCAACGGUCUUAUCCUCAUCGCGUGGCGCAAAGUAAAGCAAUGCUAUCUUUAUCGCGGAAAAGCAGUCGCUGCUUACGUUGCGGUGCCAGGCGACUGCGCAAAGAAGCACCGAAAGAGAAUCAGUGAAGGAAGCUGGCAGGCGGCUCCUGUACUUGUUGCAGGGUGCCAGGAAAAGUAAAGUUGUCUUGUCCACAACGGUGCCACCUAGAGGGAACCAAGGCGCGUGCCCGGUGGGGCACAUAGAAGAUAACGUUAGCCCUUGACCCACAUAUCAGUAUGACAUGGGCGAUCCAUAAAUAGAACACUACCCCUUCCAGGAGAGGGAUCCAACACUUAGGCAUCUAGGGUUUACUGCUUCUUCUUCUUCUUCUUCUUCUUCUUCUUCUUCAAGAAUACUGCUCAAGGAGCGCCAUUGUAGAUCUUGUUAUCUCGGCUUAUUAAAAAAAACAAGAGUAGGAGUUUUACAUCUACAAGAGGGCUCCGAAUCUGAGUAAAUCUAUGUGUGCUAGUGUGCUUGUGCGUGUUUUUUUCACGUCCUUUCUCCUCCGGUUCCUCUUUUGUCCAUCGGCCCCAACUUAAACUAUCUUAUGGCAUCUGCUGUGACAUCUAAAAUUUCUGAUAUCUGAUAGCGUCCUAGCAGAGUAACAAUCUGCUAAUCUGCUUUGCUGCCGCCGCAGGCGGGCCUGCGCGCGGUUCACCGUCCUCGACGGGCGGUUGUGUUCCAAUUGCAACUCUGGUUGCCACGGUUGACCGUGCCCACCGUGGAUUAGGAUCUUGGGUUCUGCUUUUGCGACUCUACUCUAUGCUAGCGCCGAUCAGAAUUCAGAAGGAUGCAGACGCACACACAAGACGAUGUAACGAUCUCUGAUUAAAUCGAUCGAUCGGACCAAACCUUCACGUACGCUAACACCCAGACCUCUGCUAAUUGAUUGCGAGCUAGCAGUUGUUCCUAGGGUAGUACUGAACUACUGCAUGUACCAGCUGCGGCACGGCGCCGCGGCGCCAUCGUCACCAGACUCACCGUCAUGCGCGCGCACUCGCCUCUCCUAAUCGGCGUGUCCCAAUUUCUGUGUUGACCUUCGUCACGAUGAUCAUGGCUGUGAUCACGUUGUUAUUUCUACUUUCCUUCGCUAACAUGGAAAUUUAUAGUUUCUACUUUCCUUGGUUAACAUGGAAAUUUCUAGGGAAAAAGAUCUAACGGUUGUGAUCUAGAUGGGACGUUUGAUGUCCUGAUUUAUUUAGAUGCGAUUAUAAAGAUGCAACGGUUGUGAUCUCUCUAUAGAAAAAGGUCCACCCAAUUAAUGUUUUGCUUUUUUGCGAGAUUUUUGAGCCUCUCUAUUUUUUCCGUGGUUGUUCUGUCAUGUACUUUUAGUAUAUAAGACAUUAAUAAGACGCCGUGCAAACGAACCAGUAGCAUCAUCAUGCAUGCAUACAUGUACUAGGCAAAAGUCCAUUGUUUUAAAUGCUUUAACUCUUAAACUGUCAAGUUAAUUUAAGAUAUGUCUUCUCGAUUAAUUUUGUCUCGACGAGAUCUUCGAAACUAGAUCUCAUGUUGACAUGUUUAGACAAAUUUAAUUUUUGUUUUAAAAGUUUCCAUCCAAUAAUCUAUGAAGUUGCCAUCCUGUUAGUAACAAAGUAACACGUUGUAACUUUAUAUAAAAUAUGGUGGCGAUUUGUGUAUCAAAGGUAUUAUCUGAUAAUACGUAAAGUCACCACCCUGUAAUAUAUGAAGUUGCCGCCUUAUUAGUAACAUAAUACCAUGUGUCAACUUUAUAUAAAAUACGGUGACGACUUGUUUAUCAAAGGUACCAUCCGAUAAUACGUAAAGUCACCGCCCAAUAAUAUAUGAAGUUGCCACCUUAUUCAUAAAUAUUACCAUGUGGCAACUUUAUAUAAAAUACGGUGGCGAUUUGUGUAUCAAAAAGGUAUCCGAUAAUAUAUGAAGUUGCCACGUUAUUCGUAACAACUUACCACGUCGUAAUUUCAUACAGUAUAAAAUAGGAUGGCGAUUUGUGCAUCAAAGUUGUCAUCCGAUAAUAAUGUAAAGUUGCCAUCCAAUAAAAUAUGAAAUAUUAAUGUGUUAGUAAUAAAUUAGCACGUGGUAACUUUGUACGAAACAUUUUGACUCUUAAAAUAACUAGUAUGUAUAUAAUAUGCACUCACACGCUAGUUGCCAACAUAAAAUAAAAAUUACAUGCAAAGAGACAAAAGAGACAGUGCAUGCAAGCUGCAGGCUGUUCGCGCAGGCAGCUGAAUACAAUUCCUGAGUAGCAAAGGGGAAAAAAAAUCAUGCGUGCAAGCCACGCAAGUGCAACAGCAGCAGCAGUCAGCAUUGGCAGUAGCCCACUAGCGCUCGAUCGAGCGCGUCGCCCAGCCAGACAAGAGCGCGGACGUACGCGCGACAUAUUUUCCGUUUAGGUUUUUAGACAUCAAUCUGAUUAUAUGAAUUCACGUGAUUUAGUUUUCCAACAAUUUAAUUUUGUCUCUACUAAUUAUAUAUAAAGUCACCAACAUAUUCUUUUCAACGUCCACCUCACUAAACGUACACAGAUUAUUUAUAGUCCACAAUCAGACUUACUGAACACAGAUUACUUUUUAACCGUGUGCGUUUAGUAAUUACUCCCGGAGGCUGAAUUCCACAAAGCAUGAGAUAAGGUUGCACCGUCUGCUCUCUCGCAAGGAACACACCGGAUCCUCGCGCACCCCCGCUGCUUAUCAAGCCGGACUCCUUGCGCCCGCUCAAAUCUUCUCGCUGCUGCCGCCGAACUCCUACUCCUCCUGCCCCGUCGCCUCGCGGGCCUCGCACCGUCCUAUCCCUUGCCCCGUCGCCGCCCGUCCCCAUGCCCUUGUCGCGCUCCCCUGCCCGCCUGCCCUAUCCAUCAGUCAGCCUGGCAGGAGAAAAUCAGGCUCGUCCUCCGUCAAUGGCCAGUGCGCCUGGCCGCCGUUUCCGGCCAACUCCGCCGCCCCGCAUGCUCCACCCCAGGCAACGCCGCUGCUCGCCGUCAUUGCCGCCCCGCCCCAGGCGCCCUGUCCCGCCGUCGUGCGCCACGGCGACCAGGCCGCGGUCGUAGCACUCCCGCACCCCGCCCCACGCGCCCUGUCCCGCCGUCGAGCGCCCCGGUGCCCCGGCCGCGGUAGCCCUUCUGCGACCUCCGUCCCCCGGGCGCCACGCCGCUGCCCCACCGCUGCUCAUCACGACAUCACACCGAGGCCGCGUUAGAGGUUAGUGCUUCAAUCUCAUAUGAUUUGUUCCAUUGCGUUGUAUCCGUGUAGGUCUUUUCCAGCCCGAGGAGUAUAUUUAUUUGUAUUUUUUGUGAGAUAUUUGUAUUUUAUGAUGCAGAAAAUUAAGCAUGAGUUGAUACAUAUGCCCUACGAGUUAUGGGCUUAGGUUUUGUGUCAGUACCCCAAAAUAAACUAUGCGGAUCUUAAAGGCAAAAGUUAUAAGUGAUUAUGGAGAAUUCUGUACUAUAGACGGGAGCUAUAAGUCCCUAUCUGUUUACUACAAAUGAAUUGUGGUCUGUAUUUUAAAUACAUAGAUGAACCAAUGUCUGUAAAAAGCUUCUAGAUAUUCUUAAAUAAGGAGUAGAAACUUAUGACUCAAUGUACAUCCUCCACAUUCUUACAUUGGCAUACAUUGUUUGGUACUGUGCAUUCUUUCUCAGUUGUUCAGUUAGCUUGAACUACAUAAAUCCUUGGCUCUGUGCUGCUGCUGCUACUGUUAACAUGCACCGGAGAUGAUGAAAAUAUGGGAAGACAAUCCAAAAUACCUAUUGUCUCUUCGAAGGAAAAGAUCAAAGAGAGGGAAAAAAGUGAACGAAUAUAUAUCUUAUUUCCCACAAAUUUUAUGAUCUGAGGUUAAAUCAUAGUAUAGAUGUCCAUCUUAUUACAGACAUAUAUAAGAAAUAAUUAGAAGAGUUUUUUUAUGGCCGUGACCGAGCAUGCAUAUUCUUUUAGCUUAGACAUAUAAAUUAUCGAUGUUGCUGGUCUUUCUCAUGUAUGGGGUUGUAUAUCUGCAAGCAAGGAGAUGGCUGACCAUUUCUGCUGUGUUGCAGGUGCAGUUGUCCGUUCUUGUGAUGGAACUAUCUUUGAUGAUGAUUCAACACCGCUUGUUUGUUGUCAUACUUGGAUGAAUAUCUCUGACAGUUGGAAUUUGUUUUCAUGUUUGGCUUCAGUUAUGCGAAGGACAAGUGUUACUAUUAUACAUGGAUUGACAAGAAUGGCAAAUAAUCAUGGCUACUACUUACAAAGUUACAAACCAUAUUUUGGUGUUGGUCUGGGACCUUUGUUGGUAGCUUUGCACUUCUAAAUGAAACUUGGAUGGAUUUUGUCUGCCAGCCAUAUUAAAACAGUUUGUUGACUGUGCCACCAAUUAUUUAUUAUUGGGCUUAUGAAAUGUCAGUUAAAAUUAUAUUACAAUCGUCAUAAGAGUAUGAUGGAACAAUACAGACUAAAGUUGAGGAUAGCACAUCGUGAAAGAGUUGAUGUUGAACUGGGUUUCAGGUGACAACAGGUGAUUAUUUUGAGCUACAACUCUUUUUUAUUUUCGAGCUAACCGUAAAUAUUGAUGUAUUUUGUAAUGGAAUCUUCAUUGGUGUUACAUGCCUCAACACACAUAAGAGGCCUCUCCAACUAUCUCUUGUUACUCUCCAUAUGUUGCUCCGUAAUAUGGAAAAGAAAAUUGUACAGCUUAAAGCUACUACAAGAAAGACCAUCGAGUUGCAGCUUUCUAACAAAGUAUGUUUCUAACCAACAUGAAAAUAUAUAUCAAUACUAAUACUGUACUAACAUUUAGAUCCAAUGAAUUUAAGGCGAAUGACCAGCUUGGUCAGU
Molecule: long non-coding RNA, 34821 nt
Filed under: Brachypodium distachyon (stiff brome)
Lineage: Eukaryota; Viridiplantae; Streptophyta; Magnoliopsida; Poales; Poaceae
Description: long non-coding RNA (BDIS_LNC004779)
Rfam family: MIR1120/MIR1122 microRNA precursor family (bases 6690-6825)
Source: RNAcentral